UUAUUCUUUUUGUUUUUCGUUUUUUUUUAUUUUUUUUUAUUUUUUAUUUAAAACACGUGGGCUUCGCCUAGCGAGCAUGACAGCUCAUGAAGAAACUUUUGCUCCUUCAAGAUUAACGUUUUGACUGACGAAUAGACCCCAUUUGAACCUGUUGGAAGCAUCUCAAGCCAUUCCCUUGUGUUGACCGAUCAUCUAGAUAGAACCCACAAAGUG
Molecule: long non-coding RNA, 213 nt
Filed under: Lathyrus oleraceus (garden pea)
Lineage: Eukaryota; Viridiplantae; Streptophyta; Magnoliopsida; Fabales; Fabaceae
Description: Pisum sativum (pea) long non-coding RNA (PSAT_LNC009286)
Source: RNAcentral